Galeopterus variegatus (Sunda flying lemur) is the source of this 687-nucleotide long non-coding RNA. RefSeq lists it as uncharacterized. NCBI's taxonomy places the organism in Eukaryota, Metazoa, Chordata, Mammalia, Dermoptera, Cynocephalidae. The transcript has 3 exons. The record is from RefSeq and is a predicted model, not a curated record.
UAUAUUCUUAUGCCCUCAUUUUCACAUAAUGUUACUACUAUGAAGAAGUAUAAUUAGGAGUUUGAUACGAGCCAUUACAAUCUAAAGAGUGUUUGGUGACAAGUUUUGUUAGAUUAUGGUGAUGGGUCUGGCUGUGACACUCCUACACUCAUGGACUCAAGAACAGGAUUUUUCAAUGCAGUGACCCUUGGGGCUCUCAGGUAAAUUGUUUCUUUAAUCCUGAGGUUUUUGAUGAAUUUCUAGGGACACACAGAAGGAUGGAUGCAUGAAUUCUAUGCUUACGUUGUCUACUAGUACCUUUUGAAGAACUGAAGAAGAUCAGGUAUCAUGCAAAAAUAGGCUUGGAGAAGAGAUUCAAGAAGUGAUCAAGGCCAAGUGACUGGAAGCUGACCUCGGGCACCAGCCAAGUCAACCAGAGCUCUGCAAAGGGAAACUAUGCGAAAGACUGCAGAAAAGAUGAUUCUACUCUGGGGCAAAUCAAAAUCUGGCAGGGUCCUGAGAUAACAAUGAAGAUGAGAACAGAAACCAGACGAGGUGGUGAGACCUUGUACUUGACUUGCAGACAUGAACCCCUCCUAGCUCACGUCUCCUCUCCUGCUUUUCGCCUCCCAUGCCCCAUUCCCUCAACCCCUCCUUUAAAAAACUUCAGUAAAUCGACAUCUUUGAGAUGGGAUAGCCUAUCAUGUC